Molecule: ribosomal RNA, 497 nt
Filed under: uncultured bacterium
Lineage: Bacteria
Description: partial 16S ribosomal RNA
Rfam family: Bacterial small subunit ribosomal RNA
Source: RNAcentral
GAUGAACGCUGGCGGCGUGCCUAAUACAUGCAAGCCGAGCGAACGGACGAGAAGCUUGCUUCUCUGAUGUUAGCGGCGGACGGGUGAGUAACACGUGGAUAACCUACCUAUAAGACUGGGAUAACUUCGGGAAACCGGAGCUAAUACCGGAUAAUAUUUUGAACCGCAUGGUUCAAAAGUGAAAGACGGUCUUGCUGUCACUUAUAGAUGGAUCCGCGCUGCAUUAGCUAGUUGGUAAGGUAACGGCUUACCAAGGCAACGAUGCAUAGCCGACCUGAGAGGGUGAUCGGCGACACUGGAACUGAGACACGGUCCAGACUACUACGGGAGGCAGCAGUAGGGAAUCUGCCGCAAUGGGCGAAAGCCUGACGGAGCAACGCCGCGUGAGUGAUGAAGGUCUUCGGAUCGUAAAACUCUGUUAUUAGGGAAGAACAUAUGUGUAAGUAACUGUGCACAUCUUGACGGUACCUAAUCAGAAAGCAACGGCUAACUACGUG